CCUACGGGGGGCAGCAGUGGGGAAUAUUGGACAAUGGGCGAAAGCCUGAUCCAGCCAUGCCGCGUGUGUGAAGAAGGCCUUCGGGUUGUAAAGCACUUUCAGUGGGGAAGAAAGCCUUGGGGCUAAUACCCUCGAGGAAGGACAUCACCCACAGAAGAAGCACCGGCUAACUCCGUGCCAGCAGCCGCGGUAAUACGGAGGGUGCGAGCGUUAAUCGGAAUUACUGGGCGUAAAGCGCGCGUAGGCGGUCUGAUAAGCCGGUUGUGAAAGCCCCGGGCUCAACCUGGGAACGGCAUCCGGAACUGUCAGGCUAGAGUGCAGUAGAGGAAGGUAGAAUUCCCGGUGUAGCGGUGAAAUGCGUAGAGAUCGGGAGGAAUACCAGUGGCGAAGGCGGCCUUCUGGACUGACACUGACGCUGAGGUGCGAAAGCGUGGGUAGCAAACAGGAAUAGAUACCCCGGUAGUC
RNAcentral lists this ribosomal RNA (465 nucleotides) under Vreelandella stevensii. RNAcentral's name for it is "partial 16S ribosomal RNA". It matches the Rfam family "Bacterial small subunit ribosomal RNA", at positions 338 to 795 of the family's 1533-position model. The record is from RNAcentral. Lineage: Bacteria; Pseudomonadati; Pseudomonadota; Gammaproteobacteria; Oceanospirillales; Halomonadaceae.